RNAcentral lists this ribosomal RNA (370 nucleotides) under uncultured bacterium. RNAcentral's name for it is "bacterial SSU rRNA". It matches the Rfam family "Bacterial small subunit ribosomal RNA", at positions 527 to 896 of the family's 1533-position model. The record is from RNAcentral.
GUAGGGUGCGAGCGUUAAUCGGAAUUACUGGGCGUAAAGCGAGCGCAGACGGUUAAUUAAGUCAGAUGUGAAAUCCCCGAGCUCAACUUGGGACGUGCAUUUGAAACUGGUUAACUAGAGUGUGUCAGAGGGAGGUAGAAUUCCACGUGUAGCAGUGAAAUGCGUAGAGAUGUGGAGGAAUACCGAUGGCGAAGGCAGCCUCCUGGGAUAACGCUGACGUUCAUGCUCGAAAGCGUGGGUAGCAAACAGGAUUAGAUACCCUGGUAGUCCACGCCCUAAACGAUGACAAUUAGCUGUUGGGACACUAGAUGUCUUAGUAGCGAANCUAACGCGUGAAAUUGUCCGCCUGGGGAGUACGGUCGCAAGAUUA